This 468-nucleotide ribosomal RNA is filed under the name uncultured bacterium. Its description in RNAcentral is "partial 16S ribosomal RNA". It matches the Rfam family "Bacterial small subunit ribosomal RNA", at positions 28 to 507 of the family's 1533-position model. The record is from RNAcentral.
GACGAACGCUGGCGGCGUGCUUAACACAUGCAGGUCGAACGGAAAGGCCCUGCUUUUGUGGGGUGCUCGAGUGGCGAACGGGUGAGUAACACGUGAGUAACCUGCCCUUGACUUUGGGAUAACUUCAGGAAACUGGGGCUAAUACCGGAUAGGAGCUCCUGCUGCAUGGUGGGGGUUGGAAAGUUUCGGCGGUUGGGGAUGGACUCGCGGCUUAUCAGCUUGUUGGUGGGGUAGUGGCUUACCAAGGCUUUGACGGGUAGCCGGCCUGAGAGGGUGACCGGCCACAUUGGGACUGAGAUACGGCCCAGACUCCUACGGGAGGCAACAGUGGGGAAUAUUGCACAAUGGGCGGAAGCCUGAUGCAGCAACGCCGCGUGCGGGAUGACGGCCUUCGGGUUGUAAACCGCUUUCGCCUGUGACGAAGCGUGAGUGACGGUAAUGGGUAAAGAAGCACCGGCUAACUACGUG